This 2963-nucleotide long non-coding RNA is filed under the name Sus scrofa (pig). RNAcentral describes it as "lncRNA (ENSSSCG00030064043.1)". Lineage: Eukaryota; Metazoa; Chordata; Mammalia; Artiodactyla; Suidae. The record is from RNAcentral.
CUUCUUUUCUUAGGGCUGCACCAGUGACAUAUGGAGCUUCCCAGGCCAGGGGUCUAAUCGGAGCUGUAGCUGCUGACCUACACCAAAGCUACAGCAAUGCCAAAUACAAGCUGCAUCUGUGAUCUACACCACAGCUCACGGCAAUGCCGGAUCCUUGACCCGCUGAGCAAGGCCUGGGAUGGAAGCCACAACCUCAUUGUUCCCAGUCGGAUUCCUUUCUGCUGCACCACGACAGGAACUCAUCAGGGCAUUUUUUGAGUACUGUUUAAAAAGCCUCCACAAAACUAUAUUUUUGACAUAAAAUUUAAACUUAGGCAAAUUAUUCCAUACCUCUUUAAAACAUGGCAUGUAAGUUUGGAGUUCUUUUUCUCUCAGUGUAGUGAUUCUUUUUUUCCAAUUUGGUUCAUAGAUCCUCUUGAGAAUGUAGUGAAAGUUAAGGGUCCUCUUAAGAGAAAAAUGCACCUACCCAUGGAACAGAACACAAUCUCACUGUGGUCCUAGGCUCCCUUGUCCCCUCAAGUCUCUCCAUGCAACCCCAGAUUGAAAACCCCAUAGUAAGCCAAAGAUAUAUUUAUUGCAGAAGACUCAAAUUUGAAUUUGAAAUUCAUGAAUUCCAAGUGGUUAUGGAGCUUGAUAAAUCAUCCUUUACCAUUGCUAAUAUCACAAAGGGAAAACUUUGAAUCGAUUUGAUUUCACAGGCCAUGUGUGAAUAUUGAUUUCAGUCCUGCCACAUAGCCUUCUGCAUGCUGAGUGAAGAGACUAUUCUGUCCUCAUUUCAAGGUGAGGCUCUUCUACUCCAGCAAUAAAUACUGAAAACAAGGCACAUAAGAUCCGACUGUCUCAAAUGCCAUCCCAGGCAGCUCCUUUAAGUGUCUAAAAGAUAAGAUAAAUAACAUUGAUACUUCUGCAUGUGGUUAUGUGUCCCUUCUUGCCACAGAAUUGAAACUAGAAACUACUUGAAGUUUCCAAAUCUAUGUCAAAAGCCAGAUGAUUAUGAAAGCCCACAAUGUUUGAGUCUUUAAGGGCAAAAAUCUUUAAUGUUUAGAUCCAAGUCAUAGUUUAUUUUAUGAAAGUGUAAAAUACAUUAAAAGUCUUGAACUAUUUUAAAAAAUGGAAUAUUUUUUUUCUGUUUAUAAUGUAUCAGCCUUGCAUCAGAUGUUUAUUUCAUUAACAUAUUUAUGGAACAUCUCCCUUAAACUGGUUUGUGUUCAGAUUGCCUAUGGCAGAUUAACUCAAUAUAAUGCUUAUUCUUUUAGUUACAUUUUUAGUUAUUCUUGUAUUGCAGACAUCAUUACAUAAUCCACCCAGAAUGUGCUUUAAAAUAUCUACAAAUCUAUUUAAAAAUAAGAAAAUGAUUUAAGAUGUUAUUAUGUCAGGUGGUUUGACUAAUUUUCAAUGAAGCAUAUUAUUCCUCUUCAAAGGUGUAUUGUUUUAGGGAUGUUAUAUUUCAAAACAUGUUAAAAAAUUAAUAGUUUAGUUAGAUUUUCUGUGAGAUUUUAAAGUUCUGAUUCUUGGUGUAUAAAAAUAAAAUGAGAAAACUGUCUUUCACAUUACCCUCUAUGGUAAUUACUAAGAAACAUUUCCAGGGAUGGAUGUAUAAUUUUUAAAAAGUUAUAUUGAAAAAGAAAACCCUGUAAAAACUCAAAAAUAGUUAUCAAUUUGACAUGGGUGUAGCAUUUAAAGUCCCAGAUUUUAGUAAUCCAAAGUUGUGUGUUCAAAAACAUUCCUUCAAGUAACAGAGACAAACUAUUCAAAUUUUACUUUUGAUAAGCAUCUGUUUGAGGUUUUUAAACUCAAAAAUUCAAAAUUAAAUUAUAUGGCACCAGAGGUAUAUAUACUAUUUAUUUCCAAAAAUGAAACAAAAGGAAAGUGUUUUUAAUGGUUAUCUUCUACUUCAGAAAUAUAAACUUCAAAUAUUACUACUUGAAACUUCAGAUAAUUGGUCUGCACACACUAUUUUCUUUAGACGAGACAUCUUUGCUUUGAAAAAAAAAAAAAACACAGUUCACUGAAAGCAUACCAUAUGUCAAUAAACAGCUAAAUACAUUACACAUAUAGUUUAAUUUAAUCCUCAGAACAACACCAUGUGGGAAAUGAUGUUGCCAUUUUAAAGAUGAAGAAGGUGAGGAUUAUAGAAGCUAGUACUUCCUAAGACUGGUGAAGCUGCAUCCUCUUAACUCCAAAUUCCGACCUCUUCCCCAUAUCCAUUAUAAACAACGUGGUAUUAAAUGUCUUUUCUAAUGCCACAACUUGUGAAAUGUUACAAAAAUAUUAAAAAAUUGAUAUUUUACUAUAUAAAGGCAUCCUACCACUGUGGUGACAAGUAGGGCUAUGGAGCAAGACUGUCUGGGGUUAGAUUCCUGACCAUAGACUCAGUGGUUUAAAUUCACCACUCAGGUCUUCAGUUCCUACAUCUGCAAAAUCAGCAUCAUCAACUAAUGCUAAUUUCACAGACUCAUGAUGGAAAUAAAAUGAAAUUCAUUCAACAAUAUGUGGAAAUUACUAAAAAGGGCCCUAAUAGAAAUCAUAUUUUUCUUGUCUUUUUGGGGCCUUACCCAUAGCACAUGGAGGUUCCCCAGGCUAGGGGUUCAAUCAGAGCUGUCUGCUGGCCUACACCACAGCCAUAGCAAUGCAGGAUCCAAGCCGUAUCUGAGACCUACACUACAGCUCACAGCAACACUGGAUCCUUAACCCGCUGAACGAACCCAGGGAGUGAACCCAUGUCCUCAAGGAUACUAGUCGGGUUCGUUAACCACUGAGCCAUGACGGGAACUCCCAGAAAUCAUAUUUUAUGUUUUUUCAUCUCUGCUUAAUGCACCUGAUCCUUGUUAUAGAAACUAAAUACACAGGUUGCCUUCUAUCACCCUCCAAGACAACCAACUCUAUAUAUUUUCUGGGCAUGAGCACUUAAUAUUGAAAAAUAUUCCAUUCUAUGAAAACCCAGCCAAAGUCUAACAUAGCAA